Molecule: long non-coding RNA, 1209 nt
Organism: Passer domesticus (house sparrow)
Lineage: Eukaryota; Metazoa; Chordata; Aves; Passeriformes; Passeridae
Exons: 3
Source: RefSeq, a predicted model, not a curated record
CCGCAACAGAUGGGGAAAGUCUGAAGGGAAAACUGAAUGAGGGCUCUUGAUCUGUUCAGCUGGAGAAGAGAAGACUGAGGGGAGAGCUCAGCAGGGACAGCAGCUUCCUUGAGAGGGAAGAGGAGGGGCAGGCACUGAGCUCUGCUGUGACCCAGGAACAGCUGGAGCUGGGCAGAGCAGGGUCUGGCUGGACAUCAAGGAAAGGUUCUGCUUCCCCAGAGUGGUGUUUAAGAUGAGAGAAACCUGACAGCAAGAAGGUGUGUUCCUUCCUAUUGGGAACAGGCUGUGACUUCAUUCCAGGUGUCCCUACCUGCCAGCAGUGUUACAGGGCUGUCUCUGGAUCUCCUGGACUCAAGCCUUGUUCUGAACAGGCAGAAACCAUUGGCACCCUGGAAAGAGUCAGGUGCCAAUUGAGUCAAUGAUCAGAUCUGCUUUCCGCACAAACCCUGUUCUGAAGGCUGAUAUUGGAGGCUAAAUUGGAAGAUCUGAUGCUGAAAAUCAUUUCGUAAGAGAGAUUUGUUUCACGGAUGAUAUAAACGCUGCUGCAAAGCUCUUUGAAGUCACAAGAGUUUUCUGUUGAUGACAAGAAUCUUUGGUCCAAGCCUUUAGAGUCGAGCACACUUGCACCAUUUGUGUAAAGACACAAUAAAUCUGUGUUAAUGGGCAGGUACAAGAACAGAUUAUGUGAUAACUGUGUGGUUUCUCUAUUAAUAUAUUCUCCCAUUACUUUACAUGUUGUUUCAUUAAUCUAAAUCUUCCUUAACACCACUUCUAAUCUAGUCAGCAGGAGCUGCAAUAAUGUCUAAGCACAGAGAAGAAGCAGUCAAGUAUUUGGUUGUUUUAUUAAAUGUCUAUUGCAGUCCUUGAUCAUGAAGGUACCUUAGUUAAAACCAGUCCUUAUUCAAAUAAAUAUUCUGUGGAAAUAUUAUGAAAGCUCUGAUUAAUCUAGCAAUGGAAUGUUUGUUUAAUCAAAGUAUUUCAGAAAUACUUUUACAAAGCCUGAUAAAUUACACUGAAAUCCAAGGUGGUAGCAGCAAUAAAUGAUAGCUACCUAAAUAUUCAAGUCCUUUUAUAAGAGAUGUGUAUACAGAAAAUAAGUAGUUUCUUUUUAAAGCCACUAAAACUGUUAUUCAAUGCAAAUGAAUUAUACAAAGUUCCCAAAUGUGAAACUAAAUUAUUUUAUGAAUAAACAUUUUUAAUCAUGAGGAA